AUGUCAGUUAAGGUGAGGCAGGGCAUUUGCACUUCUUUUGUGAUUCUUCAGUUACUUCGGGCCAUCUGGGCAGACGUGCAAGUCACAGGGGAUGCGAUGUCUUGGCUUGGGCUCAGAGGCCUGACACAUUAUGUUAGGGUUAGAGAAUCGUUUUCACCACAGUGUCCCGCAGCAUCUAGCAAUGUCUCUGUCAUGAAGAAGGCCAUGGACUCUGCACUCAGGAUAUCUGAUUAUAAUCCCAGCACUGCCAUUUAUCAUCUGUACACUGGAGAGCAACCUGCUUAAACUCUCUGUGCAUUAGCUUUUUCAUCAAACAGAAAAAGUAACCAUUCUUAGAAAUUAAAAUAAUGCAUGGCUUAUAGAAAAUAUUCAAUAAAGUGUAAACAUAUGGGUGGAAUAAUUAAACAUUUAUGUAACUACAUAAUUUCUUAGUUGCAUUUGUGAAUCUCUGAAAUUCUAAGAUAUAGGUGCUUGGGGAAAGGUCCUCAUUAGCGACCACUAGUUACUCCAGCUGACAUGAUCAACUGGUUGAGGACGCCCUUCCCAGGCAUAAUAGUGCUGUGAGAAACUAAUCAGUGGUAAGAGCUGUGUCUCUUAAAUUCAAGCCUACUCCAGCCAUGGCAAGUGUCCCAAAAAUAACAGCUUUUAAUUGCUUUUCAUAAUCAGGGGUUCUUUAUGUGGACGGUACACACACACAGAGACAGAGACAGAGAGAAAGAGAACAGCAACAUAACCAGAAGGAUAGAUUUAUCAUCAGUCCUGUAUUGGGAUUCUUCAUUCUUCUAUUCAUUAAUUAAGUGUCCUUGGGAAAGUUAAACUCAUUAAGCCUCAACUUUCCCUUGUAAAAUGGGAAUAAUAUCUACUUUGAGGACUGGUAAUUAGAAAAAUAAAUGAAACAAUGUAUGUAAAUAACUAUAGUUUGUUUGUUUGUUUUUUGAGACAGUCGCGCUCUGUCGCCCAGGCUGGAGCACAAUGGCGCCCUAGUGUUUGACACAAAUGAAGUAUUUACUAAGUAGGAGCUACUGUUAUUAUUAUUAUCAUUGACAUCGUCAUUAUCCCAAAUUCUGAGAAAUUUUUCAUUAAGAGGGAGGCAUAACAUUGGUUACAAAAUAAUCUUAUUUUACUUAUGAAGAAAAAAAGUUUAGCAAUUUUAAUCCUUAAUGGAAUUUCUGAUGUUACAAUUGCCACCUAGCAUUCCCUAAAAUUUAAAAAGUCGGUAAGUUCACAUUCAUUUGUAUUGUGGAUAAAAGUUCAAAGCACUAAUUAGAUAAGAGGGUGCCCUGAUUCUUCCAAAUGACUGGGUCAGAGUGACUGGUUGUUUGGGCGGUGUUAUUAUUAAUAAUGGUAAUAAUUAUUAAGCCCUUUAAUGUCCCAUAAUUACAAGUGAAGCUUCCACUAAAAUGCCACAUCAAAAACUUUUUUGUUUUUUGCUUAUGAAUUCAGUUUCUUUGAUCACCCCAAGCACAGUCUAUAGGUAUCAGUAAACAUAAUGAUCCUUCUCUUCAUGCACCUUUUGCUUUGAACAAUUCCUUCCAGUACACUUGGUUGGAAGGUAAUAGGCCUGUAUAAUAUUUCUACGGAAGGGGAGGGAAGGGAUUUACAGGGAGAAGUUGAAGGAUGUCAGUACAGCCACCCCAAAGGAAAGUGGGAUAAAGGAGAUUUUAUUUGCAGCCUAAGAUCUUAUAAAAGAUUUCUUUGCCUGAGUGUGUUGAAGAAGGGCACCUUGGCCCUUUAAGGGAAUCUAACAGGCGAUGUGAGGACAAGUCAAAAAAAAAAAAAAAAAACGCACAAGUGAAUCUCAUGCAGAGUAAAUAUCUGAAUAAAAAAGAGGCCAAGCUAGGCUGUAGAGAACUAUAUAAAGGAUAUGUAAUGCGAUCAAGUUCUUCCUGGAUAUUUUCCAGGCUCAAUUCUGUGUUAUUGUGGUAAUAAUUUCAUUAGUCAUUUCUGUAGCUACGACUUUGAUACUCACUCAGUGUACAACUGUUUUUUUAAGCCAACCUACACUAGUUCCUUAUUUCAGUUUGCAAUUUUUUUUUAGUAAGUUUUCAACUUCUGGUUUGAAGAUUUAGUCUCUGAGUAAAAUUCUUAAAGACUGUUCAGAUGCUUUGACAGCCAAAAAUGCUUUACUUUGAUCUGUCAUCAAAGUAGCAAGAUAUAUUAGCAUCCUGUUUUCAAUGUGUAUUAACUUCAUUCAAUAAGUCUUUCACUUCAUGUGUUUUUCCUGGAUGUCUACGAGUGUCUAUGACUGUCACUAUGCAUGAAACCAAGCCUAAUAUGGCCUUUGCCCUACUAUCCCAAGGCUGAAGCUUUUCCUGUGAGUCUUGAUAUUUUCAGAAAUGCAUAAUGUCUUCUUGCCAACUACUUCUAACAUCGCUCACCUGACGCGAGUUGGAGAAACUUUCAACCAUUCUUCAUCACCCUGACCCAGAGACUGCCACAGUCAAUAAAGCACAAGGGAAGAAAUGACAGAGAGAGUUUUAGAAUCCGGGGCUUCAAAAUGAGGAUGAGAGAACUGAAGCACUGCCAUAGAUAAUUCAGUCACUGACUCCCUUUCCUGUUAAAUACCCAUGGGAGUUGGAAGUCCUACAGAGUCUUAAAAACUCUUGUUUUUAAAGUGGUCCAAUAAAGUCAUUCACACUUGAUGAACUGCAGGGAACAGUCAGCUGCUGCGGAAGAAGUGGAAUUUCUUAUGGCUUUGUACUUCUUAGAGAAGAAAGGAGUAGAAAAACUAAGUCUUUUGUGAUCAUCCUCGGGUC
This is a long non-coding RNA of Macaca mulatta (Rhesus monkey), 2756 nucleotides long. The record is from Ensembl. NCBI's taxonomy places the organism in Eukaryota, Metazoa, Chordata, Mammalia, Primates, Cercopithecidae.